RNAcentral lists this long non-coding RNA (338 nucleotides) under Nicotiana benthamiana. Its description in RNAcentral is "long non-coding RNA (NBEN_LNC002228)". The record is from RNAcentral. Lineage: Eukaryota; Viridiplantae; Streptophyta; Magnoliopsida; Solanales; Solanaceae.
CCCACCGGCCUCCUAUGGCUCCUCACGCUUGAUUAUUGAAGCCCCAUGACUUGACCACGAAGUUUCGAAUCUGGGCCUUUGGCGAUUCAAGUUCCACGGUCAUCUCCGGCUCAAAUCCGGCGUGUCCUAGUCUUAUGAGUCUAUCUUUUACUCGUUCGACUCAGACCAGCCCUUUUCCAGGUCUAUCUCACUUCUAGGGUAUUCUGAAACCCUAGCCCAUCCAGGUUUUUCCUAUGUUUCUCUAGAUCCACUAUAGAUCUAUGCUUGUUUUAAGGUUUUUAAAACAAUUUUCUUAAAAUCUCUUUCGAAGGUUUGCGUUCAAAACUAGUCGCCCUCUC